This 419-nucleotide ribosomal RNA is filed under the name bacterium. RNAcentral's name for it is "partial 16S ribosomal RNA". It matches the Rfam family "Bacterial small subunit ribosomal RNA", at positions 355 to 776 of the family's 1533-position model. The record is from RNAcentral.
UGGGGGAUAUUGCACAAUGGGCGAAAGCCUGAUGCAGCGACGCCGCGUGGGGGAUGAAGGCCUUCGGGUUGUAAACUUCUUUUGCUCUGAACAAGGCAUGCUAAUGGGUGUGUUGAGUGUAGGGGUUGAUUAGCGCCGGCUAACUACGUGCCAGCAGCCGCGGUAAUACGUAGGGCGCGAGCGUUGUCCGGAAUUAUUGGGCGUAAAGGGCUUGUAGGUGGCUGGUUGCGUCUGUCGUGAAAGCUCAUGGCUUAACUGUGGGUUUGCGGUGGGUACGGGCUGGCUUGAGUGCAGUAGGGGAGGCUGGAAUUCCUGGUGUAGCGGUGGAAUGCGCAGAUAUCAGGAGGAAUACCGGUGGCGAAGGCGGGUCUCUGGGCUGUUACUGACAAUGAGGAGCGAAAGCAUGGGGAGCGAACAGG